RNAcentral lists this ribosomal RNA (253 nucleotides) under uncultured bacterium. Its description in RNAcentral is "partial 16S ribosomal RNA". It matches the Rfam family "Bacterial small subunit ribosomal RNA", at positions 524 to 776 of the family's 1533-position model. The record is from RNAcentral.
UACGGAGGGUGCGAGCGUUAAUCGGAAUUACUGGGCGUAAAGCGUGCGUAGGCGGCUCGUUAAGUCAGAUGUGAAAGCCCUGGGCUCAACCUGGGAACUGCAUUUGAAACUGGCGAGCUAGAGUUGAGUAGAGGGGAGUGGAAUUUCAGGUGUAGCGGUGAAAUGCGUAGAUAUCUGAAGGAACACCAGUGGCGAAGGCGACUCCCUGGACUCAAACUGACGCUGAGGUACGAAAGCGUGGGUAGCAAACAGG